This 406-nucleotide ribosomal RNA is filed under the name uncultured bacterium. RNAcentral describes it as "partial 16S ribosomal RNA". It matches the Rfam family "Bacterial small subunit ribosomal RNA", at positions 30 to 526 of the family's 1533-position model. The record is from RNAcentral.
AUUGAACGCUGGCGGCAGGCCUAACACAUGCAAGUCGAACGAGGGGCAGACGGGUGAGUAAUGUGUGGGGAUCUGCACUAUGGAGGGGGAUAAAUACUGGAAACGGUGGAUAAUACCGCAUACCAUCGGAUGAGCCCAUGGGGGAUUAGGUAGUUGGUGGGGUAAAGGCUCACGAAGCCGACGAUCCCUAGCUGGUCUGAGAGGAUGACCAGCCAGACUGGGACGGAGACACGGCCCAGACUCCGUGGGGAGGCAGCAGUGGGGAAUAUUGCGCAAUGGGCGCAACCCUUAUGCAGCCAUGCCGCGUGUAUGAAGAAGGCCUUCGGGUUGUAAAGUUCUUUCUGUAGGGAGGCGUUACCCACAGAAGAAGCACCGGCUAACUCCGUGCCAGCAGCCGCGGUAAUUC